AAUACUGCAGUCGAACGCUGAANCACUCUGCUUGCAGAGUGUGGAUGAGUGGCGAACAGGUGAGUAACACGUGGGGAACCUGGCCAUAAGAGGGGGAUAACAUCCGGAAACGGGUGCUAAUACCGCAUAGGUGAUCAUAGCGCAUGCUUAGAUCAUUAAAGAUGGCUUCGGCUAUCGCUUAUGGAUGGCCCCGCGGCGUAUUAGCUAGUUGGUGAGGUAAUGGCUCACCAAGGCUGUGAUACGUAGCCGACCUGAGAGGGUGAUCGGCCACACUGGAACUGAGACACGGUCCAGACUCCUACGGGAGGCAGCAGUAGGGAAUCUUCCACAAUGGGCGAAAGCCUGAUGGAGCAAUACCGCGUGAGUGAAGAAGGUCUUCGGAUCGUAAAGCUCUGUUGUUAGAGAAGAACAAGAGGUGUAGUAACUGGCACCUCCUUGACGGUAUCUAACCAGAAAGUCACGGCUAACUACGUGCCAGCAGCCGCGGUAAUACGUAGGUGACAAGCGUUGUCCGGAUUUAUUGGGCGUAAAGCGAGCGCAGGCGGUCUUUUAAGUCUGAUGUGAAAGCCCACGGCUCAACCGUGGAGGGCCAUUGGAAACUGGAAGACUUGAAUGCAGAAGAGGAAAGUGGAAUUCCAUGUGUAGCGGUGAAAUGCGUAGAUAUAUGGAGGAACACCAGUGGCGAAGGCGACUUUCUGGUCUGUAAUUGACGCUGAGGCUCGAAAGCGUGGGGAGCGAACAGGAU
Molecule: ribosomal RNA, 745 nt
Filed under: uncultured bacterium
Lineage: Bacteria
Description: bacterial SSU rRNA
Rfam family: Bacterial small subunit ribosomal RNA
Source: RNAcentral